UGAUCUGGCAACAGCUCUCCAGUCAAUUAUUGGUAAUAGCCCUUUCGAAUAAGCCAAUCAGAAUAGUCAAAGAACAACCCCCCUUGCUUCUGUGGCCCCUUUAAAAGUAGACUGUACCAGCUAUUCGAGGUCCCUCGGCUUCCCGAAUGCUGGGGGACCCUGUCAUGACAGAAUUAAUAAAAUCCUCAUGCUUUUGCAUCGGCUGUGGUGUGUGAGAUGGUCUCUGGGGGCAACUCCUUCUUGGUGUUUGGACGCUAGAGUCCAACAAAAGGAGGGUGCCACCACACCUGACUUCAGUCUCAUUUCUAGAAAGAUUUUGUUUGUUUUAACUAUGUUGAUGCAUUUGUGUGUGGCUAAGCACACGGUCAGUGCAGGUGCCUGCUGGAGUCUCAUGUUUCACUGGAGUAGUAGUUAUAGCAAACCGAAACGUGGGUCCUCUGUAACAACAGUAUUGGGUUGUAGUUGCUAAGUCAUCUCUCUAGCCCCGAUCCUAUUUGGCAAUAAAUACAGGGUCUCAGGCAUCCCAGGGUUCCCUCAAAUUCCACAUGUAGUUGAGGAUGACCGCGAAGUCUCAACUCUCCUGUCUCCACUUCGUAAAUAUGCGGAUUGUAAAUAUGCGGAUUGCAGGCAUGAGCCAAUACACCCAGCUGGGGAAACAAACCUACGAUCUCUUAUGAGAGGCCACCUGAGCCAGUCCUCAAGACCCUGUUUAAUUUCUGUUGUUUUCCUGGAGACAGGGAACCUCAGCCCAGGUUUGCCCCAAACACUUAAUUCUCCUGCCUCAGCCUCCUGAGGAAUUACAACCAUGUGCCGCCAUACUUGGGUACAUUAUUAAUUCUCAUUCAUUUGUGCCAUCCUAAAAAUGCGGGGCAAGAUGGGAGGGAUUGGAGGAGUGAAAAGCGUGAUCAAAUAUAUUGUAUAAAAAUUAUUUUCAAUGAAAAAGAAUGUUGAGAUAAUGAAACCUGCUCUUGCAUAUGGAAGAAAAACCCACAGUUUUGGGUUUUGUUUUUUUUUUUUUUUUUUUUUUUUUUUUGGUUUUUCGAGACAGGGUUUCUCUGUGGCAUUGGAGCCUGUCCUGGAACUAGCUCUGUAGACCACGCUGGUCUCGAACUCACAGAGAUCCGGCUGCCUCUGCCUCCCGAGUGCUGGGAUUAAAGGCGUGUGCCACCACGGCCCAGUUUUAACUUGCAGAUUGUGUCAGAAAUAUUUGGUGAUAAGUAGUAGCGAUGGCCCAAUGGCAGGGGCCAAUAACGUACAGAUCCCAACAAAGCAUUGCAAGCCGGGCGGAUAAGUUUGAGCCUCUGCGGCUCCCGUAGCUCGGUACGGCUUGCCCGGUGUCCCACGUGCUACUUCCGGUUACACGGGACACACGCGUCUGAGCUGCCGCGGGGACUCGGCAGUGACUGGCGGAGCCUGCGAUUUCCACCAGCUGCUUGCCUGGAGCCCGUCUGCAGCCACUAUGUCGGGCAGGAACAACAACAAGCUGCCCAGCAACCUGCCGCAGUUACAGAACCUGAUCAAGCGGGACCCGCCGGCCUACAUCGAGGAGUUCCUCCAGCAGUAUAAUCACUAUAAAUCCAAUAUGGAGAUUUUCAAGUUACAGCCAAAUAAACCCAGCAAAGAACUGGCAGAGCUGGUGAUGUUUAUGGCGCAGAUUGCCCACUGCUACCCGGAACAUCUCAGUAGCUUCCCACAGGAGCUGAAGGAGCUGCUCUCCUACAACCACACCGUCUUGGACCCGGAUCUCCGCAUGACAUUUUGCAAAGCGUUGAUCUUGCUGAGAAAUAAAAAUCUCAUCAAUCCAUCAAGUUUGCUGGAGCUCUUCUUCGAGCUUCUGCGCUGCCACGACAAGCUCCUGCGGAAGACGCUGUACACACACAUCGUGACCGACGUCAAGAACAUAAACGCCAAGCACAAGAACAAUAAAGUGAAUGUGGUGCUGCAGAACUUCAUGUACACCAUGCUGAGAGACAGCAACGCGACUGCAGCCAAGAUGUCGCUGGACGUCAUGAUCGAGCUCUACAGAAGGAACAUCUGGAAUGAUGCUAAAACUGUCAACGUUAUCACAACUGCCUGUUUCUCCAAAGUCACCAAGAUAUUGGUUGCUGCUUUGACCUUCUUCCUUGGGAAAGAUGAGGAAGAGAAACAGGACAGUGACUCGGAAUCCGAGGAUGAAGGACCCACGGCAAGAGACCUGCUGGUGCAGUAUGCCACGGGGAAGAAGGGCUCCAAAAACAAGAAGAAAUUGGAAAAGGCAAUGAAAGUGCUGAAGAAACAAAAGAAGAAGAAGAAACCAGAAGUGUUUAACUUUUCAGCUAUUCAUUUGAUUCAUGAUCCCCAAGACUUUGCGGAGAAGCUCCUGAAGCAGCUGGAGAGCUGUAAGGAGAGGUUUGAAGUGAAGAUGAUGCUCAUGAACCUCAUCUCCAGAUUGGUGGGGAUUCACGAGCUUUUCCUCUUCAACUUCUACCCUUUUGUGCAAAGGUUUCUGCAGCCCCACCAGAGAGAAGUCACGAAGAUCCUUCUGUUUGCUGCACAAGCCUCUCAUCACCUGGUGCCACCAGAGAUCAUUCAAUCGCUGCUCAUGACGGUGGCCAACAAUUUUGUUACUGACAAGAACUCUGGGGAAGUCAUGACUGUAGGAAUCAAUGCUAUAAAGGAAAUAACAGCUCGAUGUCCUUUGGCCAUGACUGAAGAACUUCUCCAGGACCUGGCUCAGUACAAGACACACAAAGAUAAGAACGUAAUGAUGUCUGCCAGAACUUUGAUUCAUCUUUUCCGGACACUGAACCCUCAGAUGCUGCAGAAGAAGUUCCGGGGUAAACCGACUGAAGCCUCCAUUGAAGCAAGAAUACAAGAAUAUGGAGAGUUAGAUGCUAAAGAUUACAUUCCGGGAGCAGAGGUUCUGGAGAUUGAGAAAGAAGAGAAUACAGAAAAUGACGAAGAUGGAUGGGAGAGCGCCAGCCUCAGCGGGGAGGAGGAGGAUGGUGAGUGGGUCGACGUGCACCACUCUUCUGACGAAGAGCAGCAGGAAAUUGCCAAGAAGCUGGAGAGCAUGCCCAUGGAGGAGCGGAAAGCCAAAGCUGCAGCCAUCAGCACAAGUCGGGUGUUAACACAGGAUGACUUCCAGAAAAUCCGCAUGGCGCAGAUGAAGAAGGAGAUGGAUGCUGCCCCCGGGAAAGCCCAGAAAAGGAAAUUCAUAGACAUCGACAGCGACGAGGAGUCCAGGGGUGAAUUGCUGUCUCUUCGGGACAUUGAACGCCUUCAUAAAAAGCCCAAGUCUGACAAGGAGACAAGACUAGCAACCGCCAUGGCAGGAAGGACAGAUCGAAAGGAAUUUGUGAGGAAGAAAACCAAAAUAAAUCCAUUUUCCAGUUCCACAAAUAAAGAGAAGAAGAAGCAGAAGAACUUUAUGAUGAUGCGGUACAGCCAGAAUGUCCGGUCAAAGACCAAGCGCUCCUUCCGGGAGAAGCAGCUAGCACUACGAGAUGCACUUUUGAAAAAGAGGAAAAGAAUGAAGUAGCAUAGCAGCAAGUUACCGUUUCCUGCCAGCGCUGUGUGCGUCGACAUGCCGAAGAUUAGUAAAUAUUUGCUUACAUUAAAAGGAUAAGAGACUAUAUUUUGGAAACCGCAGUAGCAGUUGUAGCAAUUUGGUAUUUUUAAUUUGGAGGUGGGGCUGGUGGGAUUGUGAAUGUAAAUAGUAGUGGUGUUAAGAUCUCCUUUCUAACUCAGAGCAAUAGCAAGUGCCUACUAAUUGCUGCAUGCACAGCUGAGUGAGCGGAGCCCCACUGAGGGCAGGUGUGUAAGCCGCGUUUAUAGUGAGCUUGUAAGUAGUUCCUUGUGGCUGUUGGUUCGGAUUCCUGGAGUCGCUGGGCUCCUGGAUGAACUGCGGGAUGGGAGUCGUACAUGCUCUGCAAACAGGACAAUGUUACAAGUGUAAGAGGUUCUUACUUGUAAAUAGGCUUGCCUGCUGAACAGGCUCCUGCUGUACAGACCGUGUCUUCUUCCUUCUUUUCAAUGUUAAGAGUUGGCUAAGACCCCAUUUUUAAAAUUGCCUUAAGUUUAAAUAGUGAUUUUGAAAUGCCUAGCAGGGUGCGGAGGCACACGCCCAUAAUCCCAACAUUCAGGAAGCUAAAGCAGAAGGCUCAUGGUUUUAGAACCAGCUUGGAACAUACUGAGUUAGUUCAGGGUCAGCCUGGGCUGCAUAGUGAAACCCCAAGCAGAAACACAGACCCUUUUUGAGCUUUUCGUUUGUGCUGCCUGUUCUCUCCCGUCUGUUGCUGGGGUUUGGUUGUCUGUGCAGCCUGCUCUCUCUGUUCUCUGCUGUCUGUUGCUGUUGGGGUUUGUUUUUGUUUUGCUCUGCUGGGGAUCAACCCCAGGUUCCUGGUGUUUACCACUAAGUGGAUUCUCUGCCUCUGAGAAUUCCAGCCCGGGGUGCCUGCUCUGCACUGGUUUGAUCAGUUCCCUUCAUUCUCAUUGUUUACCUUGUUCUCAACCAAAGCUACACGUUUUUAAUGUCGGAUAGGUGUGUGCAGUGGACAGUCACGCUUGAGUCCCGUGUGGGACACAGUCUGCGUGCAGGCUGCUGGGUUUAGAAAUAGUCUGGUGCCUUUUGCCUCAGCCAUCCUUAGGUCGUCCUCUAAUGAAAAAUGCCCGUGCUUGGACUGGAGGAAGGGCAGUUGGAGAACUACCCUCGGGAUUGGUAGCAGCUUUCCCUUUCCCCUUUCAUUGUUCUCUUCGGUUGCUGAGCUCAACUUUGGUUUUCUUUUCCCCUGUCACUUUCCCCCCCGUGGUGGCCCGGGUCCCUGGUAGGGGAUUGCCCCGCAGCCUCACCCCAGCACAGCUGUGGAGGAAGUGUCCAGUACAGACUUGUGUCAGACCUGAAACAGUUCUCCACUUUUCUUCUCGUGUUCUCCGGGCGUCUCCUUGUGCAUCGGCUGCAGCUGUGCUCUGUGGCCUCUCAACUCCUCCUGCCCCACCUCCCAGCUGCUCACGACCAUGUCCACUUUCUGGGCUACUAGCGCUCAUACUCAGGCCUUGGCAUUUUAAUCCAGAAUACCAGCUCAUUACCUCUAUAGCAUUAGCAGAUUUCACUGGUAAAGAAGUGCCGGACAAGACAGUCUCAGCUCUUGUCUGCCGCAUCCCUGUGCUAGCCAGGUGUCUCCUGUAGUGUGGAGGGUACAGGUACAGCGCAUGCUCGAGCCUGAUUAACCCUGCUGCCAAGGCUGUCUGUAAAUGUCACACCGCCUACCUCUCUUUUAGUAAAUUGUGUUUUGGUGGUUUCCCCCGCUUCCUUCUUUUUUCUUAUAAUAGUUAAGAUGCUGUGUUUAUUUUAACCGUCAAGUCCAGUGUCUAGGCAGCUAGUUUAAAGUACAUGUCAACUGUCCACUGUGUACAAGCACUGUUAGGUGGUUGUGCCUGCACAAACCACAUUUGUGUUCCAUGAAGACAGCUGUGCUUCGUGACGAUCCAGUCACUUCGCAGUAGGCACACACUGAGCCUUGAUGCUGCACCAUAAUCCAUGUGCCCAGUGCCCGCCGUGGGCAGGGCAGCACUGUAGAAAACUUGUUCUUGAGUCCUGUGCUUAAGAUGUAAUAGUCUUGGUGUGAUUUUUAAAUGUUCUAGUUAAUGUAAAUUUUGUUUUUUUUAUAUUCUAAUCAUUGAAAAUUUGUAAUGUAUAUAGAGUAUUACAUUGAAAUUCUAGGGCUGGAGAGAUGGCUCAGUGGUUAAGAGCAUUGCCUGCUCUUCCAAAGGUCCUGAGUUCAAUUCCCAGCAACCACAUGGUGGCUCACAACCAUCUGUAAUGAGGUCUGGUGCCCUCUUCUGGCCUGAAGGCAUACAAGUAGACAGAAUACUGUAUACAUAAUAAAUAAAUAUUUUAAAAAAUUUAGCUUUUACAUGAUGUGCUAUUUUUCCUUAUGUUCACGCUGUAGCUUCCUGUUAUUCACAGAAAUUGGCCAGCUUAGAGCAUCUUUCUCAAUUGAGCACAUCGCUGUUUUGCCUAGCUCCUUGAUUAUAAUUCCAUAUAGUAGUUAUUGUGUUGACAACAGAUUCAUCUAUACUGCAUAUAGAGAAGAAUAACUCACACAAAAAUACCAAAAGACAGAUUUCUUCCUUUUUUUCCUCCUUUUAGUGCUGGAGAGUGACCUCAGGCCCUUAUCCAUGCAAAGGAUGGGCUCUAAUACUGAUCUAUACCUUAGGUCCCUGAAGAACUUUACUUUCGUAGAACUAAAUAAUUUGAUUUUUAACAUCAUAUGGAAAAAUAAACUAGUGGAAAUAAUUAAGGAUACUAUGAAAGGUAGUAUGAGGUGAUACUAGGUCAUGUAGAAAAAUGAACAGAACCAAAGUCCAGAAAUGGACUUGUACAAAUGAGAAUUUGUGUGUGGUAAAAGUAUUAUACAGCCAUCAGUGUGUCCUAGAUAGACUAAAAUAUUGGAUCAGCUAGAUAGCUGCCUAGAAAAACCCCAGUGGGGGCUAGCAAGAUGGUUCAGUAGGAAGUAGUGCAUACUGCCAAGCCUGACAACUUAUGGUAGAAAGAAUCAUUCCCGAAAGUUGUCUGUUGUGGAAUAUUAAUUGAAGAUGUGUGACAUUUGUUCUUGUGAAACAUUUAAUUAUGAUGCAAAGAUGUGUUGUAUUAUUUUUUUUAAAAAAAUUAAUUUUAUGUGCAUUGGUAUUUUGUCGUAUGUCCCCUGAAACCGAAGUUACAGACAGUUGUGAACCACCAUGUAGGGGUUGGGAAUUGAACCCAGGUCCUCUGAAAGAGCAGUUAGUGCUCUUAACCCCUAAGCCAUCUCUCCAGCCCAUGUGUUGUAUGUAUUCUUUUGUGUUGGAUUUGUUUAACUCUGUGAAGCUGUGUUACUUGGCCUGUCUAAAAAAGAGCUGAACUGCAAAUAGCUAGGCAGGAGAGGGAUAGACUAGGCUGGCAGGCAGAGAGAACAAACAAGAGGAGAAAUCUGGGAGGAAAGAUCAAGGAGCCAGAAAAGGAGGAGGAUGACAGCAGGGACCAUCCAUCCAGCUACACAGCCAGCUAGAGUCAAAAGUAAAGAAAGGUAUAAUAGAAUAGAGAAAGAUAAAAGUCCAGAGGCAAAAGGUAGCUAGAAUAAUUUAAGUUAAAAGCUGGCUAGAAACAAGCCAAACUGACACUGGGCAUUUAUAAUUAAGAAUAAGCCUAUGUGAGAUUUAUCUGGGAGCUGGGUGGCAGCCCCCAAAGAGUAAAGAGUACGAGUAAGAAAAAACAAACAAAUAAAACAAAACAAACAAAACCUAACAGUUGUCCUCUGACCUCUGUACAAAGGCUAGAGAGCUGGCUCAGUGGUUAAAAGCACUUGUCAAAAGAAAAUGAUGUGUGUGUGUGUGCAUAAGCUAUAUCAAAAGACAACAGUUAAGCUCCUUAACUAGGCAGAGAUUAGAAAAUACAAAACAAGUACACACCUCUUGUCGGAGUCUACAGAAUGUGAGCCAUGGAGAUGUAAAAACAAAAGGAGACUGAAGAUAUUAUUCUGGGCAUUCUGAGGACUCAGUCAUUAAAAACCAUAGAUUUGAAAGGAUGAAAGAAAAGCCAUAAACACACACACACAAGUUUUCUUUUCUUAUGAGAGAGAAAGGGAGAGGGUGGAAGAGGGGAAGGAGAAGAGGAGGCAGAGACGUGUGUGUGUGUGUGUGUGUGUGUGUGUGUGUGUAUGAACACACAUGUACCAAUGUGGUACAAGGGUGUAUAGAGGAUGCUAAGAAUCUUCCAUGACUCUCUCCAAAUUCUCUUUUGAGUCAAGUGAGCCUCUCAUUGGACCUGCAGCUCACCUUUUUGGCUACCCUUGGUGCAGGAGAAUUGUCGGUAUUCUGUCAAUCAUGUUUUAAAUAAAUGCUGAUUGGCCAGGCAGGAAAUAUAGGUGGGUGAACCAGACAGGAAGUAGAGGCGGGGUGAUAAGAACAGGAGAAUUCUAGGAAGGAGGAAACCCAUUCCUCACCAGUCUAGCCCAGAGCACCAAAGAAGCAAGAUGUGACCUGCCCCACUGAGAAAGAUACUGAGCCAUGUGGCUAACAUAGAUAAGAAUAAUGGGUUAAUACAAACUACAAGAGCUAAUAUGUAGCCUGAGCUAAUGGGCCAAUCAGCUUAUAAUCUUAUGGAGUCCUCUGUGUGAUUUUCUCUGGGACUAAAUGGCUAGGGAACUGGGCAGGGCAGAAACCCCAACAAGCCGGCCCAUCGUGUUACAUACCCUGGCUGGCUAGGGAGUCCCUGGGAUCCACCUGCUUUCGACCCUGAGUGCUGGGGUUACAGGUGCACACCACCACACCUAGUUUUCAUGUCAGUACUGGGGAUCAAAACGUAGGCCCUCAUGUUUGUGAGGUAAGCACUUCACUCAUCGAGCUGUCUCACCAGCCCUUGUUUCUGUUUGAGACAAGGUCUGCAUAUGUGUCUCUGGCUGCUCUGAACCCGCUAAUACCAGGUUGGCCUCACAUAUACACUGAUCCUCCUGAGUCUGCCUCCACAGUGCUGAGGUUUAAGGUAUGUACUACCACGCUCCGGCACAAAUAAAAUUUGAAGUUAACUCAAAUAAUCUUUAAUAUCAGCUAUUAUGCUUUUAUAACUACGUUUUCUAAAUAAAAGCCCUUCUUAUGCCUACUAUGUUCAUUCAAGUUGAACAUUUUUAUAUUGUUUAUAUAAACAAAAAGCUGGCACUUAAAAUUUUUAACUUUUUUUUCUCAUGAAAAUAAGGUUCUAGAAGUUGGACAUAGGAGGUCUACCUAUAACCCAAGCACUGGGGAGGUAGAGGCAGGUUAGGUGCUCAAGGUCAACCUCAGCCACAUAGUGAGUUCAAGGGUAGUUGGGUUAAAUGAGACCUUGUCUCAAAACCAAUCAAAACAAGUAGUUCUAGUGUCUUAUGAUCAGAAUAAUUUUUAGUGGUAGCUUCUAAGAACAAAGAAUAAGAGCAUUGAUAAAAUUACACAAAUAACUCUACAAUUUGUGGUGAAUGGUUAAAAAAAAAAACCAAGCCAAUCAAUUGAAAACAUAAUGUCUGUCUUUUAAAUGGUUGACAUUUAUACUUACAAGACACAUCCUAAAUCAAAAAUUCUGGGGCUGGAGGUGUGGCUCACUGGUAGAGCACUUGCCUAGCACAUAGAAAGCCCUGAGUUUGAUCCCCAGAACCACAUAGGAAAACAAAGAAACAGUAACUGCUGGCAGAAGUUGUCAAGUAUGCGUGUAUGAGUUGUAGCUCCACGCUACACCAUACUCACACUUGAAAGGGUAACUAGCUGGACCUCAUUUACUGCUGGUUGCAUUGUAUGACUAAAAUACAUGACUAGACAAGGAUGUUAAGAUAUAAAAACUAAACCAAACUGAACAUAAAUAACACUUUCUCGCAGCAUAGUAAAACCAAUACGGUACCUGUAGCCUAUAGAUUAUAUGCAGAAUAAUCUGUAAUACUACAUUUAAAAUUAUAAUUACAAAAAUUUUACUGUUGUACAUUUUAAAUAAUGUGAGUAGUAUAAAGUCACACAUUCCUCCUUCACCUACUGAUUAAAAGGCAUACUUUUAUCCCUAAACUUGACUUUCUUUAAAUUAUUUUUAAGGGAAAUAAAGAAACAAGCUUGGGGGAACCAAAAUUGAGGAAUCGGAGGGCAGUGCAAGCAACCCUGGAAGAAGCCCAGGCCAUAGGUUUAGUAGUCCCCAUAGUCUUAGUAACCAGUCCAAGAGGGAAUGGAGGAAACUAGAGAGCCACUGUGAAAGACAAACUUGCCAACACACGUAAAGUGAGUAGAACAGAACUUCAAACAAGCUGUUAAAAACCAACUGCAAAACCCAAGACAAGAAGCCCGUCAGAAGAAAAGGCCUCAACUUAUCAAGUA
Molecule: RNA transcript, 9843 nt
Organism: Alexandromys fortis (reed vole)
Lineage: Eukaryota; Metazoa; Chordata; Mammalia; Rodentia; Cricetidae
Gene: Sdad1
Gene name: SDA1 domain containing 1
Exons: 23
Source: RefSeq, a predicted model, not a curated record